Arachis ipaensis is the source of this 236-nucleotide non-coding RNA. The record is from RefSeq and is a predicted model, not a curated record. Lineage: Eukaryota; Viridiplantae; Streptophyta; Magnoliopsida; Fabales; Fabaceae.
GAAGGCCGUUCAGUCACCCUCAUCAAGUUGCAUGUGGCUGUUAGAGCUCCUUGUCUCUGCUCUGAUCGUCGGAAGUCACCGACGAAGUUUUGGUCGCCCCAUUCCACUAUUCUUUUGAAUUCCGGUUGUGUAAAUGCCGCUGUAAAUUGUUCGAUGAUAUUGCUAUUGUGGAGAGUUGUUGGUGAGGCUAAUGCCACUGCUGUUGCUAAUCCGGUUUGAGGCUGUUGCUACUGCUG